This 253-nucleotide ribosomal RNA is filed under the name uncultured bacterium. RNAcentral describes it as "partial 16S ribosomal RNA". It matches the Rfam family "Bacterial small subunit ribosomal RNA", at positions 524 to 776 of the family's 1533-position model. The record is from RNAcentral.
UACGUAGGGGGCAAGCGUUGUCCGGAUUUAUUGGGCGUAAAGAGCGUGUAGGCGGUUUGGUAGGUCCGCUGUGAAAACUCGAGCUCAACCUCGAGACGCCGGUGGAAACCAUCAGACUAGAGUCCGGAAGAGGAGAGUGGAAUUCCUGGUGUAGCGGUGAAAUGCGCAGAUAUCAGGAAGAACACCCGUGGCGAAGGCGGCUCUCUGGGACGGUACUGACGCUGAGACGGCGAAAGCGUGGGGAGCGAACAGG